RNAcentral lists this ribosomal RNA (451 nucleotides) under uncultured bacterium. Its description in RNAcentral is "partial 16S ribosomal RNA". It matches the Rfam family "Bacterial small subunit ribosomal RNA", at positions 354 to 796 of the family's 1533-position model. The record is from RNAcentral.
GUGGGGAAUAUUGCGCAAUGGGGGAAACCCUGACGCAGCGACGCCGUGUGAGGGAAGAAGGCUUUCGGGUCGUAAACCUCUGUCAGGAAGGAAGAACCUCUCAAGGCUGAACAAGCCUUGGGACUGACGGUACUUCCAGAGGAAGCACCGGCUAACUCCGUGCCAGCAGCCGCGGUAAUACGGAGGGUGCAAGCGUUAAUCGGCAUCACUGGGCGUAAAGCGCGCGUAGGCCGUCUUUUAAGUCGGACGUGAAAGCCCUCGGCUCAACCGGGGAACUGCGUUCGAUACUGCGAGGCUUGAGUCCUGGAGAGGGUGGCGGAAUUCCGGGUGUAGGAGUGAAAUCCGUAGAUAUCCGGAGGAACACCGGUGGCGAAGGCGGCCCCCUGGACAAAGACUGACGCUCAGGUGCGAAAGCGUGGGGAGCAAACAGGAUUAGAAACCCGGGUAGUCC